CCCCCCAUAUUUCUUGGAGAAUUCAGAUCUCAUUGUUCAUUUCUCGUGGCACUUAUUCUUGGUACAUUUUUGGUCAUGGAAGUACUCGUAGCUAUGCUUUACAUGUUUAUUCCACUGUGAAUAGCUUAUAACAAUGAUCAUGGUUUUGGCAGUGGGACUGAGGCUUGUAAUUUUGAGAUGUGACAUGUGAUUAAUUGAAAGUAGAUCUUUUGCGGUUUAGUUUAAGCCUUUAAAGGCAAGAGGGAUUCCAUUUUGAGUAUUAUCUAAUUUGAAGUUGCUAUAGAUUGACAUUGUUUUAGAUCUGAAGCUUAGCUAUGAUUUCAUUGUUGCUUGAUAUGUUGACAUCUAAUCCUUAUUCUUCUAAGAGAAUCUUGUGAAAAUAAGCAUUUUUGCUCAUGGAAAUUUAGUUCUU
RNAcentral lists this long non-coding RNA (412 nucleotides) under Panax ginseng (ginseng). RNAcentral's name for it is "long non-coding RNA (PGIN_LNC015200)". The record is from RNAcentral. Lineage: Eukaryota; Viridiplantae; Streptophyta; Magnoliopsida; Apiales; Araliaceae.